GACGAGUGGCGGACGGGUGAGUAAUGCUUGGGAAUCUGGCUUAUGGAGGGGGAUAACGACGGGAAACUGUCGCUAAUACCGCGUAGAGUUGAGAGACGAAAGUGCGGGACCGCAAGGCCGCAUGCCAUAGGAUGAGCCCAAGUGGGAUUAGGUAGUUGGUGGGGUAAAGGCCUACCAAGCCGACGAUCUCUAGCUGGUCUGAGAGGAUGACCGGCCACACUGGGACUGAGACACGGCCCAGACUCC
This 246-nucleotide ribosomal RNA is filed under the name uncultured Pasteurellaceae bacterium. Its description in RNAcentral is "partial 16S ribosomal RNA". It matches the Rfam family "Bacterial small subunit ribosomal RNA", at positions 90 to 339 of the family's 1533-position model. The record is from RNAcentral. Lineage: Bacteria; Pseudomonadati; Pseudomonadota; Gammaproteobacteria; Pasteurellales; Pasteurellaceae.